UUCCCCCUUCGGGGGACAGGGUGACAGGUGGUGCAUGGUUGUCGUCAGCUCGUGUCGUGAGAUGUGGUAGUCCCGCAACGAGCGCAACCCUCGACCUUAGUUGCCAGCAUUCAGUUGGGCACUCUAAGGUGACUGCCGGCUAAAAGUCGGAGGAAGGUGGGGAUGACGUCAAAUCAUCAUGCCCCUUAUGACCUGGGCUACACACGUGCUACAAUGGGCGGUACAAAGGGUCGCGAACCCGCGAGGGGGAGCCAAUCCCAAAAAGCCGCUCUCAGUUCGGAUUGCAGGCUGCAACUCGCCUGCAUGAAGCCGGAAUCGCUAGUAAUCGCGGAUCAGCAUGCCGCGGUGAAUACGUUCCCGGGCCUU
This 366-nucleotide ribosomal RNA is filed under the name uncultured Anoxybacillus sp. Its description in RNAcentral is "bacterial SSU rRNA". It matches the Rfam family "Bacterial small subunit ribosomal RNA", at positions 1012 to 1382 of the family's 1533-position model. Lineage: Bacteria; Bacillati; Bacillota; Bacilli; Caryophanales; Anoxybacillaceae. The record is from RNAcentral.